AGCGAACGCUGGCGGCAGGCCUAACACAUGCAAGUCGAACGAACUCUUCGGAGUUAGUGGCGGACGGGUGAGUAACACGUGGGAACGUGCCUUUUGGUUCGGAAUAACUCAGGGAAACUUGUGCUAAUACCGAAUGUGCCCUUCGGGGGAAAGAUUUAUCGCCAUUAGAGCGGCCCGCGUCUGAUUAGCUAGUUGGUGAGGUAACGGCUCACCAAGGCGACGAUCAGUAGCUGGCCUGAGAGGAUGACCAGCCACACUGGGACUGAGACACGGCCCAGACUCCUACGGGAGGCAGCAGUGGGGAAUCUUGCGCAAUGGGCGAAAGGCUGACGCAGCCAUGCCGCGUGAAUGAUGAAGGUCUUAGGAUUGUAAAAUUCUUUCAACGGGGACGAUAAUGACGGUACCCGGAGAAGAAGCCCCGGCUAACUUCGUG
RNAcentral lists this ribosomal RNA (433 nucleotides) under uncultured bacterium. RNAcentral describes it as "partial 16S ribosomal RNA". It matches the Rfam family "Bacterial small subunit ribosomal RNA", at positions 29 to 507 of the family's 1533-position model. The record is from RNAcentral.